AUUGGAGGCCAGUGAAUGGCAAGACUAGGGAUAUCUGUACCCUGUAUAGAAAAACAACUUUUCAUCUGGGUGAAAAGACCCAAAUGACAAAGGAAGACGAAAAGACCCCGCGGAACUUUACCUUUUCCGGUCUCCACAUGCUCAGAAACAUUGGAACAAAAGGUUUGAUUGGGGCAAUCUCGGAACCACCAAAACUUCCGACUUAUAAGAAAAAAGUAUAUAAAACUUGAUAAGGACCAAAAAGAAGUUACCCCGGGGAUAACAGCGUAAUCCAACUUGAGAGUACACAUCGAAAGCUGGGUUUGCGACCUCGAUGUUGGCUUAAGGAUAUCCACAUAAGUGCAACCGCUAUGAUAGGACAGUCUGUUCGACUAUUAUACCCUUACACGAGCUG
Molecule: ribosomal RNA, 394 nt
Filed under: Lampsilis radiata
Lineage: Eukaryota; Metazoa; Mollusca; Bivalvia; Unionida; Unionidae
Also listed under: 2 other names
Description: partial 16S ribosomal RNA
Rfam family: Bacterial large subunit ribosomal RNA (bases 65-394)
Source: RNAcentral